This 492-nucleotide ribosomal RNA is filed under the name uncultured bacterium. Its description in RNAcentral is "partial 16S ribosomal RNA". It matches the Rfam family "Bacterial small subunit ribosomal RNA", at positions 29 to 507 of the family's 1533-position model. The record is from RNAcentral.
AGUGAACGCUGGCGGUAGGCCUAACACAUGCAAGUCGAACGGCAGCACAGUAAGAGCUUGCUCUUACGGGUGGCGAGUGGCGGACGAGUGAGGAAUACAUCGGAAUCUACUUUUUCGUGGGGGAUAACGUAGGGAAACUUACGCUAAUACCGCAUACGACCUACGGGUGAAAGCAGGGGAUCUUCGGACCUUGCGCUAUUGAAUGAGCCGAUGUCGGAUUAGCUAGUUGGCGGGGUAAAGGCCCACCAAGGCGACGAUCCGUAGCUGGUCUGAGAGGAUGAUCAGCCACACUGGAACUGAGACACGGUCCAGACUCCUACGGGAGGCAGCAGUGGGGAAUAUUGGACAAUGGGCGCAAGCCUGAUCCAGCCAUACCGCGUGGGUGAAGAAGGCCUUCGGGUUGUAAAGCCCUUUUGUUGGGAAAGAAAAGCAGCAGGUUAAUACCCCGCUGUUCUGACGGUACCCAAAGAAUAAGCACCGGCUAACUUCGUG